GCAACUUAUCUCCUGAUGAAAUGAUUUGUUUGCAUGUGACAAUAUUGAAGAUGCUAAAUUAGAAAUUAUGGUCUUUGUAUUAUCAGAUGAUGUCACUACAACAAAAACGGUCUAUAGCGACACUUUUAAAUGUAGGUAUAUGUCAAAAAAAUGCUGCUAGCUAAAAUUACCGACACUUUUAAAAAGUGUUACUAUAUGUGGGGUCGCUAGGUAUAUAGUGACAGUUAAAUAGUGUCGCUAUAACCUAAAAAAGUGCUGCUAAUUUACCAACAACUUAUUUAAGCAUUUAGCAACCGCCGAAACUCUAUCUCGUUGGCUGCGGUGGCGGAGAAGAACGACAGGAAUGGCUCUUCGUCUAGAAUUUUAGUGGAUUGAGUAAAGAGAGAAGAAAAUAUGGUAAUUGAUUUUUCUUUUUUUUUUUCUUUUCCGUUUGUAAUCGGGUCAAAUGGACUGGGUGUGGUGGGUUAAGUAGAGUAAUCUUUUAUUUUUGGUUGGAUUGGGCUUUAUAUUUAGACAGUAGUAGAUGUUUUUUUAAGUUUUAGUAUAAAUUGAACACUUACUCAAAAGUGUCCCAAACAUGUGUCCCUAUAACCUAAUUCUGUUGUAGUGUGUUUAUGAAGCAAAGGGGUUCAGCAAUUUUGUUGUCAGUUUCUGUUUAGUUUUCUUAAUAUAAACUGAACA
RNAcentral lists this long non-coding RNA (681 nucleotides) under Ananas comosus (pineapple). RNAcentral describes it as "long non-coding RNA (ACOM_LNC017513)". The record is from RNAcentral. Lineage: Eukaryota; Viridiplantae; Streptophyta; Magnoliopsida; Poales; Bromeliaceae.